Molecule: long non-coding RNA, 1420 nt
Organism: Eucalyptus grandis
Lineage: Eukaryota; Viridiplantae; Streptophyta; Magnoliopsida; Myrtales; Myrtaceae
Exons: 3
Source: RefSeq, a predicted model, not a curated record
UACGCUGCUCUCUCCCUUCGCUCGUCUUUCUUCUUCAGCUCUUCUUCAACGACGUGCGUCUUCUUCGCCAUUGAAGGUCCAAAUCUUCUUCUUCAUCAUUGAAGGUCUGGCUCUUCUUCAACGACGCUCAACACGGUUCUAGUUGUUUGAUUCACGUUUCCUUUCAUCUUCUUCAAGCAAUUGAAGUAAAACGCCCCUCAAAGCCUCUCUCUCAAUCCUCUGCGUAUUCCAGAAGCUUCUGCUCUGCUGAUCGGCGCCAGAAUCCGCUGCUCACCUUGCCACAUCCAGUGCUCUUCGGAUCACGAUGUUCUCGCGCGCUUGAGCUUCGAAUCCGUGUGCUCCAUCAAACCUUCGACAACUUGGAGCGUUGGAGCUUUCGGUUUUCAUUGAGCGUGGUUACACGUACAUACUCACUCAUCAAUCAAAUAGUUUCAGCAAUCAGCUACAAACGAAUUUCAGCAAUCAGCUACAAACGAAUAGGUUUCUGUAAAAGCAUUCAUUGUCAAGAGUGUUAAGCUGAAGAAGUUAUGGCUCGAAGAUUUCUUAAAUAGAAGAGAAAGUGGAUAUUGACAAGCAUCUGACUUUGAAUGUUUGUUCUUGAUACUUUCUGAACAUUAGACUUGUUCUUUGGUUACUUGUAGUAGCUAUUCAAGUAGCUAAACAUCAGACUUUGAAUGUUUGUUCUUGAUAUUGUCUGAAUAUUGGACCUUUGGUAACUUGUAGUAGAUAUCCAAGUCGCUUUUUGUGGCACAAUGUUAUUUGAUUACUUGUUGUAGUAGCUAUCCAAGUAGCUUUUUGUGGCACAAUUUAUCCUAACGUGUCAUGGGAAGAUAGAGACAUUAGUACUAAACUAUGAAAUGUUUAGCUCAUGUACUGCAUGGGACAUCUUUAUCAUUCAAACAGGUUGUCUUCAAAGAGUAUGGAAUAUUUGAAGUUCCAGGUCCUUUCAAGUUGAGGGUGACACAAGAAAGAUCGUCUAGUGCAUUUUGAACUUCAUGUUUGACAAUAUCAGUGCUUCUUACUACUGUUGCAAGUUAUGGCUUGGCGCUGCACAACUCUCAGCUCUUUAGAGUUGAGCUUCUCUUACCAUAAGCUUAAGCUCGUCAUUGAACUCUCUGCUUCAAGCUCUGAUAUCAAAGUAUCCUGUGGGAGAAUAGAAAAACUCAUGAGGACCCUCCGUGGGGAUGUUGCGGUGCAAUAGCUAUGUUUGUCCAUGGAGAAUUGAUCAAUUUCCUUAUCUACAGGACAUAAAUUCUGGGUAUGGUCCUUCGUGGUGUCCAUGCGCAAUUCAGGAUAACUUGCAAAGAGCCGCACGAGAGGCGCAUCCAUAUGAAGAGAGCCAAAUGUAUUGAAGCGAUUAAUGAGAUCGUUUUGACUUGCUCCUGUAACCGGAAAUCAUGUUCAUUUUCAGGAAAAAAAA